CCUACGGGGGGCAGCAGUGGGGAAUUUUCCACAAUGCCCGCAAGGGUGAUGGAGCGACGCCGCGUGAGGGAUGAAGGUCUUCGGAUUGUAAACCUCUUUCGUUUGGGAAUAAGGUUUCAGCACUAACAUUGCUGAAAUUUGACGGUACCGAAGGAAGAAGCUACGGCUAACUCUGUGCCAGCAGCCGCGGUAAUACAGAGGUAGCGAACGUUGUCCGGAUUUACUGGGCGUAAAGGGCUUGUAGGUGGCCAUAUAAGUCAGUUGUGAAAUCGUUCUGCUUAACAGAACAAUUGCUUCUGAUACUGUAUGGCUUGAGUGCAGGAAGGGAAAAUGGAAUUUCCGGUGUAGCGGUGAAAUGCGUAGAUAUCGGAAAGAACACCUGUGGCGAAGGCGGUUUUCUGGCCUGCAACUGACACUGAGGCGCGAAAGCUAGGGGAGCAAACAGGAUUAGAUACCCCUGUAGUC
RNAcentral lists this ribosomal RNA (465 nucleotides) under uncultured bacterium. RNAcentral describes it as "bacterial SSU rRNA". It matches the Rfam family "Bacterial small subunit ribosomal RNA", at positions 338 to 795 of the family's 1533-position model. The record is from RNAcentral.